GACGAACGCUGGCGGCGUGCCUAAUACAUGCAAGUAGAACGCUGAAGGAGGAGCUUGCUUCCCUGGAUGAGUUGCGAACGGGUGAGUAACGCGUAGGUAACCUGCCUGUUAGCGGGGGAUAACUCUUGGAAACGAUAGCUAAUACCGCAUAACAGUAGAUAUCGCAUGAUAUCUACUUGAAAGGUGCAAUUGCAUCACUACCAGAUGGACCUGCGUUGUAUUAGCUAGUUGGUGAGGUAACGGCUCAACAAGGCGACGAUACAUAGUCGACCUGGGAAGGUGGUCGGCCAAACUGGGACUGGGACACGGGCCAGACUCCUGCGGGGAGGAGCAAGAAGGGAUCUUCGGGAAUGGGCCGAAGGCUGACCGAGCAAAGCCGCGGGAGUGGAGGAGGGUUUCGGAUCGUAAAGCUCUGUUGUAAGGGAAGAACGAGUGGGGGAGGUGAAAGUGCACGCUGUGACGGUAUCUUACCAGAAAGGGACGGCUAACUACGUG
RNAcentral lists this ribosomal RNA (495 nucleotides) under uncultured bacterium. RNAcentral describes it as "partial 16S ribosomal RNA". It matches the Rfam family "Bacterial small subunit ribosomal RNA", at positions 28 to 507 of the family's 1533-position model. The record is from RNAcentral.